Molecule: ribosomal RNA, 484 nt
Filed under: uncultured bacterium
Lineage: Bacteria
Description: partial 16S ribosomal RNA
Rfam family: Bacterial small subunit ribosomal RNA
Source: RNAcentral
AUUGAACGCUGGCGGCAGGCCUAACACAUGCAAGUCGAGCGGAUGAAGGGAGCUUGCUCCUGGAUUCAGCGGCGGACGGGUGAGGAAUGCCUAGGAAUCUGCCUGGUAGUGGGGGAUAACGUCCGGAAACGGGCGCUAAUACCGCAUACGUCCUGAGGGAGAAAGUGGGGGAUCUUCGGACCUCACGCUAUCAGAUGAGCCUAGGUCGGAUUAGCUAGUUGGUGGGGUAAAGGCCUACCAAGGCGACGAUCCGUAACUGGUCUGAGAGGAUGAUCAGUCACACUGGAACUGAGACACGGUCCAGACUCCUACGGGAGGCAGCAGUGGGGAAUAUUGGACAAUGGGCGAAAGCCUGAUCCAGCCAUGCCGCGUGUGUGAAGAAGGUCUUCGGAUUGUAAAGCACUUAAAGUUGGGAGGAAGGGCAGUAAGUUAAUACCUUGCUGUUUUGACGUUACCAACAGAAUAAGCACCGGCUAACUUCGUG